GAUCAUGGCUCAGGACGAACGCUGGCGGCGUGCCUAAUACAUGCAAGUAGGACGCACAGUUUAUACCGUAGCUUGCUACACCAUAGACUGUGAGUUGCGAACGGGUGAGUAACGCGUAGGUAACCUGCCUAUUAGAGGGGGAUAACUAUUGGAAACGAUAGCUAAUACCGCAUAACAGUAUGUAACACAUGUUAGAUGCUUGAAAGAUGCAAUUGCAUCG
Molecule: ribosomal RNA, 220 nt
Filed under: uncultured bacterium
Lineage: Bacteria
Description: partial 16S ribosomal RNA
Rfam family: Bacterial small subunit ribosomal RNA
Source: RNAcentral